Molecule: long non-coding RNA, 2001 nt
Filed under: Triticum aestivum (bread wheat)
Lineage: Eukaryota; Viridiplantae; Streptophyta; Magnoliopsida; Poales; Poaceae
Description: long non-coding RNA (TAES_LNC010357)
Source: RNAcentral
GGAGUGAGUGGCCGCUACUCGUGGGGGGUCGCGCGUGCAUAUGGGUGCGCGGGCGCGUGCGCUGGGAGUGAAGAGGCUGCGCUCGUGCGCGAGCACGGCUCGGCGCGGGCGUGCGGCUGCGCCAAGGCAUGAGGUGGUAAGGCCUGGGUGCGAGCAGGAGUGCGGGGACUCGAGGUCGAGCCGAAGCUCGUCUCGGGUGAGCAGGAUGCGGAGGAACAACACCGCACCUAUGUUGUUGCAGCUCUCUUUCACUUUAGACGACAGUGGGAGAAAGAGCGGAGAUAGAAGAAGCAGUACAGGGACAGACUAUUUCCUUGACGAUGAACGCCACCGGCUGCUCGUACAGCCCCGAGUCUAGCUCAGCUCCAACUGCCUCACGGCUACAGGCACAAGCAUAACACUUAAGUAGUAGAUGCACACGCACAGCUCAUCGGCCACACCGGCCAUUAAUCUAUGCACCUACGCACGACCCGGCCUCACAACCGGCCACUAACCGCACGUACUCAUCCACUCCUAGAAGAGCUCACCUAGCUAACUAACUCAGCCAUGCAUGUAGGAGUAGCAAACUUGGCCAGCACACUCGCCAACGGCCUACUCUACGUGCCAGACUGAGUACACACGCUACACACAUACGCCACGUUGCUGCGUCCCGCACAUCCCGUCCGUCCCGCGUGUCACCGACGCGCCCGAUGAACCCGAUGAGCCCGACGACACCAGUAUGUCCCGCCUGUCCCGUGCGCAUCCGACGCGCCCGACGAGCCCGACCACACACGCCGUGGCUUAUUCCAACACACACCCCCUAAGCCACGACCUAGAGGAGUCCGUCGUCGUCGAUGUUGUAGCCGCCACCGCCCUGAUGUCGCUGCCAAGCCUGCCACCGUGUCGCCGUGCCCUUCGCGUGUAGUCCCCACGUCCCCGCGCUCCCGCCGCGCACAUACGCGAUCUGCGCAACCAGGUCCAGCGCCUCGACGCUGUCCACUCCCGCGGUCCCGACGCGCCCGACGCAUCCGGUGCGCACCCAUAACACGGACCGGUCGCGCCCGGCUCGCCGCCACGCUUAUUGCCCUGCACUGCUACGCCGUCAACCGCAGCGCCGUGCCUCCACGGUCGUCGCGCCGAGCCGCCGCGGCCUCUGUGACGCCACGCAGGUCCUCCGCGACCUCCUCGUCUCCGCGACCGCCCCUGCUCGUCGCGCGCACGGCAUCACGCCACACUGCCGUGGACUCGCCGCGCGUUGCCGACGCCAUGCGCUCGCCGCACGUCGUUGCCAAGACCUUCAUGUCCACCGCGCACCGCGGGCACCGCGGACGCCGCCGUGCGCCACGGCCGCCCCUCGAAUCUGGCUCUGAAUACCAAUUGUUGUUGCAGCUCUCUCUCACUUUAGACGACAGUGGGAGAAAGAGCGGAGGUAGAAGAAGCAGUACAGGGACAGACUAUUUCCUUGGCGACGAACGCCACCGGCUGCUCGUACAGCCCCGAGUCUAGCUCAGCUCCAACUGCCUCACGACUACAGGCACAAGCACAACACUUAAGUAGUAGAUGCACACGCACAGCUCAUCGGCCACACCGGCCACUAAUCUAUGCACAUACGCAUGACCCGGCCUCACAACCGGCCACUAACCGCACGUACUCAUCCACUCCUAGAAGAGCUCACCUAGCUAACUAACUAAGCCAUGCAUGUAGGAGUAGCAAACUUGGCCAGCACACUCGACGAGCCCGACGGCACCAGUGUGUCCCGCCCGUCCCGCGCGCAUCCGACGCGCCCGACGAGCCCGACCACACACGUUGUGGCUUAUUCCAACAACCUACACCACAACAAGACUAUAUCCGGCCACUAAUCUAUGCACCUACGCACGACCCGGCCUCACAACCGGCCACUAACCGCACGUACUCAUCCACUCCUAGAAGAGCUCACCUAGCUAACUAACUAAGCCAUGCAUGUAGGAGUAGCAAACUUGGCCAGCACACUCGCCAACGGCCUGCUCUACGUGCCAGACUGAG